This 460-nucleotide ribosomal RNA is filed under the name uncultured bacterium. Its description in RNAcentral is "partial 16S ribosomal RNA". It matches the Rfam family "Bacterial small subunit ribosomal RNA", at positions 338 to 795 of the family's 1533-position model. The record is from RNAcentral.
CCUACGGGAGGCAGCAGUGAGGAAUAUUGGUCAAUGGCCGUAAGGCUGAACCAGCCAAGUCGCGUGAAGGAAGAUGGAUCUAUGGUUUGUAAACUUCUUUUAUAGGGGAAUAAAGGUAUCCACGUGUGGAUAUUUGCAUGUACCCUAUGAAUAAGCAUCGGCUAACUCCGUGCCAGCAGCCGCGGUAAUACGGAGGAUGCGAGCGUUAUCCGGAUUUAUUGGGUUUAAAGGGUGCGUAGGUUGUUUUUUAAGUCAGCGGUGAAAGUUUGUGGCUCAACCAUAAAAUUGCCGUUGAAACUGGAAGACGUGAGUGUGUUUGAGGUAGGCGGAAUGCGUGGUGUAGCGGUGAAAUGCAUAGAUAUCACGCAGAACUCCGAUUGCGAAGGCAGCUUACUAAGCCAUAACUGACACUGAAGCACGAAAGCGUGGGGAUCAAACAGGAUUAGAUACCCCAGUAGUC